This 467-nucleotide ribosomal RNA is filed under the name uncultured bacterium. RNAcentral's name for it is "partial 16S ribosomal RNA". It matches the Rfam family "Bacterial small subunit ribosomal RNA", at positions 28 to 507 of the family's 1533-position model. The record is from RNAcentral.
GACGAACGCUGGCGGCGUGCUUAACACAUGCAAGUCGAACGGAAAGGCCUCUUUCGGGGGGUACUCGAGUGGCGAACGGGUGAGUAACACGUGAGUAACCUGCCCUUGACUUUGGGAUAACUUCAGGAAACUGGGGCUAAUACCGGAUAGGAGCUCCUGCUGCAUGGUGGGGGUUGGAAAGUUUCGGCGGUUGGGGAUGGACUCGCGGCUUAUCAGCUUGUUGGUGGGGUAGUGGCUUACCAAGGCUUUGACGGGUAGCCGGCCUGAGAGGGUGACCGGCCACAUUGGGACUGAGGUGCGGCCCAGACUCCUAAGGGAGGCAGCAGUGGGGAAUAUUGCACAAUGGGUGGAAGCCUGAUGCAGCAACGCCGUGUGCGGGAUGACGGCCUUCGGGUUGUAAACCGCUUUCGCUCAUGACGAAGCUUUGUGUGACGGUAGUGGGUAAAGAAGCACCGGCUAACUACGUG